UACGUAGGUGGCAAGCGUUAUCCGGAUUUACUGGGUGUAAAGGGCGUGUAGGCGGGACUGCAAGUCAGAUGUGAAAACUAUGGGCUCAACUCAUAGCCUGCAUUUGAAACUGUAGUUCUUGAGUGUUGGAGAGGCAGGCGGAAUUCCGUGUGUAGCGGUGAAAUGCGUAGAUAUACGGAGGAACACCAGUGGCGAAGGCGGCCUGCUGGACAAUAACUGACGCUGAGGCGCGAAAGCGUG
Molecule: ribosomal RNA, 240 nt
Filed under: uncultured bacterium
Lineage: Bacteria
Description: partial 16S ribosomal RNA
Rfam family: Bacterial small subunit ribosomal RNA
Source: RNAcentral